Folsomia candida is the source of this 523-nucleotide long non-coding RNA. RefSeq lists it as uncharacterized. The transcript has 2 exons. The record is from RefSeq and is a predicted model, not a curated record. NCBI's taxonomy places the organism in Eukaryota, Metazoa, Arthropoda, Collembola, Entomobryomorpha, Isotomidae.
UUUACGACUAGUAAUAAAUACUACAAAAUAACACCACCUCCUCGAAGCCACACCUACCCAUGCAAUUAAAAGAGCAGGAGUGGCAGUGGGAGGUGUGUUUACCAGUGGGGAACUUUUGAAAGUUCCCGAAAAAAAAACUUGUGGAAACUUACCUGGAGAAUUGAAGAGAGUUUAUUUCUUGCUUCCGACUUGGUGUAGAUCUGAAGGCAGACUGGAGACUGGAGCGAACGAGCAAGCUGAAGUCGAAAUGUGCCAGGGAAAAAGACCGUUCGGACUCCAGCCAGGGGGAUCUGAUCUGGCGACGAGGUCAUCAAUGGCAUUCUCCUUCAACCAAAGGUGGUUCUACAUACAUAUUGUGUGAGAACAAUAAUUGGUAAAUUGACCAUAGUUGAGUUUGUCAUGGCUGGUAAUUCCGGUCAAGUGAUUAAUUAAAUUAAUUAAGAUACUGCGCACCUUGCGUAGCAUUUGUUCUGCUGGAGUAAUACUUUGUUUCCCAGCUAAACCGAAUAAAAAUACAUAUAUA